UGGGGAAUAUUGGACAAUGGGCGCAAGCCUGAUCCAGCAAUGCCGCGUGUGUGAAGAAGGCCUUCGGGUUGUAAAGCACUUUUAUCAGGAGCGAAACGCUGUCGGCUAAUACCCGGCGGAACUGACGGUACCUGAGGAAUAAGCACCGGCUAACUUCGUGCCAGCAGCCGCGGUAAUACGAAGGGUGCAAGCGUUAAUCGGAAUUACUGGGCGUAAAGCGUGCGUAGGCGGUUUCUUAAGUCUGCUGUGAAAUCCCCGGGCUCAACCUGGGAAUGGCAGUGGAUACUGGGAGGCUAGAGUGUGUCAGAGGGUGGUGGAAUUCCCGGUGUAGCGGUGAAAUGCGUAGAGAUCGGGAGGAACAUCAGUGGCGAAGGCGGCCACCUGGGACAACACUGACGCUGAGGCACGAAAAGCGUGGGGAGCAAACAGGAUUAGAUACCCUGGUAGUCCACGCCCUAAAACGAUGCGAACUGGAUGUUGGUCUCAACUCGGAGAUCAGUGUCGAAAGCUAACGCGUUAAGUUCGCCGCCUGGGGAGUACGGUCGCAAGACUGAAACUC
This 559-nucleotide ribosomal RNA is filed under the name uncultured bacterium. Its description in RNAcentral is "partial 16S ribosomal RNA". It matches the Rfam family "Bacterial small subunit ribosomal RNA", at positions 355 to 902 of the family's 1533-position model. The record is from RNAcentral.